AAAAUGCGAUAAGUAAUGUGAAUUGUAGAAUUCAGUGAAUCAUCGAAUCUUUGAACGCACAUUGCGCCCGCCAGUAUUCUGGCGGGCAUGCCUGUUCGAGCGUCAUUUCAACCCUCAAGCCCCCCGGGUUUGGUGUUGGGGAUCGGGCUGCGGUUCUGCCGCGUCCCGGCCCCGAAAUCUAGUGGCGGUCUCGCUGCAGCCUCCAUUGCGUAGUAGCUAACACCUCGCAACUGGAACGCGGCGCGGCCAAGCCGUUAAACCCCCCAACUUCUGAAUGUUGACCUCGGAUCAGGUAGGAAUACCCGCUGAACUUAAGC
RNAcentral lists this unclassified non-coding RNA (317 nucleotides) under plant metagenome. Its description in RNAcentral is "partial contains 5.8S ribosomal RNA, internal transcribed spacer 2, and large subunit ribosomal RNA". The stretch from base 1 to 105 matches the Rfam family "5.8S ribosomal RNA", at positions 50 to 154 of the family's 154-position model. The record is from RNAcentral.